GAGCCGCACCAACGCCAGCCCGCCGCCAGUGAGCUGCUAGCCGGGACCGGGAGCCGGGAGCAGGGAGGCGGCCGGACGCGCGGACAGGCCCGGUGAGCGCGGCGGCGCUGUGGCAAUGGCAUGCUCCCUUACAGCACAAGGUGUUCUCAAGGGAAGCACUCCCUGUCAUGAUAUCGGAUACAACGCCUCAACCUGAUAAACCUGGACAUUCACAGAGGCUUUCAGGAUAAAUUAUCUAUAUCAAAUGGCUUCCAGGAUGGCCAGCCCCACAGGUUCCACCCUCUAGCAGCAGACCUGCCAGUAAGGAAAUCUUCAGGAGAGAUGCUUGGAACCUGGAAUAUCACCACCAACACGUUCUCUUUGAGAAGGGAGAGGUGUGGGCCAGCAGAAAAAGGUAUGCUGGAAUGUGGAGCCGACUACAACUGACGCCCAGCUCACGUCGUUGAUGGCAAAGAUGACUUCUCGUCCACAGAGUCACAAUUCCAGGUCUUCCAGUGUGGCUAACAGACACCCCAGCAAUGCCUGCACCUCAGGGCCAUCACUCCUCACUAACCUCCUCCUGCCCCCAUCAUGGCUGCCCGUUACCACUUGAGUAAGGAAUCGUUGAAUAUGCCCGAACAAGGCUGACUUCACCCAUUCAUUCAGUCUGCAAAGUCCACUCCCCUGACUCUGAUGAUGACCAAUUUCCAUUUACCCUCUGGUGUCUGUGUUUGGGCAGCAGGCAACUCCUGGCUGUGCAGCCUCAAAUUAGCACUCUCACUACACCACAUGACUCAGCAGCAAAGAACUUGCCCAUCUGAAACUAAUUAAUCUUCCCCACAUCCCUGUGAGGUAAGCAGGUGUGCUCACCUGCAGGUUAUAAGGAGGAAAUUGGGGAUGAGGAGGUUAGGAGCUGUGCCACGGGUUAUUAAGGGUGUCUGCCGGGGAUGAAGUCAUUCUGUAGUCAUCCCCGUUCAGUCUCCACCCGCUCCGGAUCCAGGCCUUUUCCCCGUGCUUUGACCACCUUACCAUUCUCUGGGCUUUUGUGAAGGCGCAGACAGAGUCCAGCAGAUACAUGCAUUUCAAAAGGAUAAAAGGUAUUAUGAUUUGCCCCUGCUAAAUGCUUUAGAUGUCUCUCCCACGAUAACUCGUGCCAGAAGUCCUCUCUCUCAGACCUUUUCCAGUAAAGGUAUCUUGUUAGGUAGAACUAAUACUGUCUCCUGGAAAGAGGGCUCAGAGUAAUACAGCUUCAUCCUUUUCCUGGGAAAGGCCUGGAGAGGUUCACUCUCGCACCUUCAGAGGCACAAGCCAGCACCCAGGCAGCCCUGGAGUUCAGGGUUAUUGGCUGCCCAGGCCUGUGAACUGCCCAGAGCACAGUGAUGGCACAGCCACCUCCACACACUUCAUCCGGGCCCUCUCGGCUCUGCAGCGUGCUUUGCGUCUCUGAUUGGUUCCCUAGGGCAGGUACACAGUCAACACUGCAACUUUCUCUACCGUAGGCCUUUCUGACUUUGCCAAAGAGAACCAGGAUUGGCUACUUCCAAGGGAGAAGCAUGCUUCAACCACCAAAACCAUGUCCUUUUUCCUUUGCUGGUUCUGCUUUCUCCUCCCACCUCCAGAUGAGGACCUGCCCCAGGCCUGAAACACAGGGAGCAGACGAAGGCGCUGCACACAGACAAGGGGAGAACCCACCAGCCCACGGCUUCCCCGGGGAGUUUAGAAGAGACCCCAGUGUCUCUUCUUAACAUCACGCAAGCAGGACAGGACAGGAGCUGGGAAUGCUGCAGCCAGGAGGACCCCAUCCAGAUCGUUACAAACAGCUCCCCCAGAUCAUUUGAUCUUAGGGAAGAAAAGGGAAUCAAACCCUGUGCCCCUGACGGGAAAUGACAGGAUGAACAUUUUCCUGGCUAAAAGUCUGAAAUAUACACCUUUGCCACACACAAAAUUUUCACCCAUUAUUUCUUUCCUUAUACUUUCCUCAUUUAAAAUGUACAAUUUCAUAGAAUAAUCCAAUUUAUACACCCUAAAUGCAUGAAACCCAUUUUUUCAGUUAUUCAGUCAGUAUUUAUGGAGCACCUAACACGUGCCAGGCAUCGCUUCGUUCACUGCCAAGGCUUCAGUCCCUAAAACAAAGUUGCUGCUCUCAGAGUUCUGACUUCCCAAUGCUUUGCUAAUGGUUUCCUGCAUGAGCCCUCACAAAGAACACCUUCCUUUUUUAAGGUAACAUUUUUUGAGGGUUUAUGCGUGUCAGGCACUGAACACCAUUAAUUCAUUUAAUUCUCACAGCACCCCUGUGAGGUGGUACGAUUUCUAUCCCCUCUUUACAGAUGAAGAAUUUGAAAUUUAAAGACAGGAUAAGUAACUUACCCAAGGCUACAAAGCUAGUAAAUCACAGAUAGGAUUAAAAUGUAGGUCCAGUUCCAAACUCCUCCAUCUUAAUCCCUACACUAAACUGCCUUCAAAACUUCUUAAAUAUAGUUGCU
Molecule: long non-coding RNA, 2462 nt
Organism: Balaenoptera ricei (Rice's whale)
Lineage: Eukaryota; Metazoa; Chordata; Mammalia; Artiodactyla; Balaenopteridae
Exons: 6
Source: RefSeq, a predicted model, not a curated record